AGUGAACGCUGGCGGUAGGCCUAACACAUGCAAGUCGAACGGCAGCACAGUAAGAGCUUGCUCUGACGGGUGGCGAGUGGCGGACGGGUGAGGAAUACAUCGGAAUCUACUUUUUCGUGGGGGAUAACGUAGGGAAACUUACGCUAAUACCGCAUACGACCUACGGGUGAAAGCAGGGGAUCUUCGGACCUUGCGCGAUUGAAUGAGCCGAUGUCGGAUUAGCUAGUUGGCGGGGUAAAGGCCCACCAAGGCGACGAUCCGUAGCUGGUCUGAGAGGAUGAUCAGCCACAAUGGAACUGAGACCCGGUCCAGCCUCCUACGGGAGGCCGGAGUGGGGAAUUUUGGACAAGGGGCGCAAGCCUGAUCCCGCCAUCCCGGGUGGGGGAAGAAGGCCUUCGGGUUGGAAAGCCCUUUUUUUGGGAAAAAAAAGCAGCAGGUUAAACCCCCGCUGUUCUGACGGUACCCAAAAAAUAAGCACCGGCUAACUUCGU
RNAcentral lists this ribosomal RNA (491 nucleotides) under uncultured bacterium. RNAcentral describes it as "partial 16S ribosomal RNA". It matches the Rfam family "Bacterial small subunit ribosomal RNA", at positions 29 to 506 of the family's 1533-position model. The record is from RNAcentral.